GGGAAUUUGCCCAAAUGGGCCAAGGCCUGUGAUUGGCCAGCCAUAGCCGGGUGGUGGUGAAGAAGGCCCUUCCGGGGUUGUUAAAGCAUCUUCCAGGCAGUUGAGGAAAGGGUGGUGUUAUUUAUAUUGGUGGCAUCAUUUGAUGUUUUGUGUCAGAAGAUGCCAUCGGUUAUUUCCGUGCCAGCAGGCUGUGGUCAUUAGGGAGGGUGUGAUGGAUUAAUCGGGAAUUUACUGGGCGUAAAGCGCAUGCAGGUGGGUUAUUAAGUCAGAUGUGAAAGCCCGGGGCUCAACCUUGGAUUUGCAUUUGAAACUUGGUCAUCUAGAGUACGUAGAGGGGGGUAGAAUUUCAGGUGUAGCGGUGAAAUGCGUAGAGAUCUGAAGGAAUACCGGUGGCGAAGGCGGCCCCCUGGACAGAUACUGACACUCAGAUGCGAAAGCGUGGGGAGCAAACAGGAUUAGAUACCCUGGUAGUCCACGCCGUAAACGAUGUCUACUUGGAGGUUGUGGCCUUGAGCCGUGGCUUUCGGAGCUAACGCGUUAAGUAGACCGCCUGGGGAGUACGGUCGCAAGAUUAAAACUCAAAUGAAUUGACGGGGGCCCGCACAAGCGGUGGAGCAUGUGGUUUAAUUCGAUGCAACGCGAAGAACCUUACCUACUCUUGACAUCCAGAGAAGCCAGCGGAGACGCAGGUGUGCCUUCGGGAGCUCUGAGACAGGUGCUGCAUGGCUGUCGUCAGCUCGUGUUGUGAAAUGUUGGGUUAAGUCCCGCAACGAGCGCAACCCUUAUCCUUGUUUGCCAGCGAGUAAUGUCGGGAACUCCAGGGAGACUGCCGGUGAUAAACCGGAGGAAGGUGGGGACGACGUCAAGUCAUCAUGGCCCUUACGAGUAGGGCUACACACGUGCUACAAUGGCGCAUACAGAGGGCAGCCAACUUGCGAAAGUGAGCGAAUCCCAAAAAGUGCGUCGUAGUCCGGAUUGGAGUCUGCAACUCGACUCCAUGAAGUCGGAAUCGCUAGUAAUCGUGAAUCAGAAUGUCACGGUGAAUACGUUCCCGGGCCUUGUACACACCGCCCGUCACACCAUGGGAGUGGGCUGCAAAAGAAGCAGGUAGUAUAACGUUACAGAGUAACCCAUGCCAGAGUAGUUGGC
Molecule: ribosomal RNA, 1149 nt
Filed under: Vibrio sp.
Lineage: Bacteria; Pseudomonadati; Pseudomonadota; Gammaproteobacteria; Vibrionales; Vibrionaceae
Description: bacterial SSU rRNA
Rfam family: Bacterial small subunit ribosomal RNA
Source: RNAcentral